This 448-nucleotide long non-coding RNA is filed under the name Calidris pugnax (ruff). RNAcentral's name for it is "lncRNA (ENSCPUG00000016799.1)". Lineage: Eukaryota; Metazoa; Chordata; Aves; Charadriiformes; Scolopacidae. The record is from RNAcentral.
UAUCGCUUGUGUUAAUGUUUAAUGGUAUGGUACCAGGCUGUACCCUGUUACUUUCAGAACACUUACAUAUCGUUUUGAGAGAUAAUGCAUCUCCUGCCUCAAUACCAGUGCCCGAGACCAGCUGCGCCACUGAGAUGGGCUGCUUUCUGCUGCUGCUGCCCACCACUGGUCACCAGAGCCUCACCUCCCGUUCCCAUGCCAUCACCCGCGUCCCUGCUCGUUAACACACCAUAAUCUUUCUGCUGGUGAGAGACAUAGCCUUCUUUGUGCAGCAGGAAAACAGGGAUGGAGCUCCAGCCUCUUCUGCCUGUAUUCUGGUUCUGUGUAGCAGAUGGGAGAUUCCAGUAGAGGACUGACAAACGCGUGUGGUGGCUGCGUCCAGGAGGCCAGGUUGUCGCACCUUCACUAGCCCCAGCAGGUCAGCGUUGUGUCUGUCCAGAACUACUCA